This 365-nucleotide long non-coding RNA is filed under the name Jatropha curcas. RNAcentral describes it as "long non-coding RNA (JCUR_LNC001276)". Lineage: Eukaryota; Viridiplantae; Streptophyta; Magnoliopsida; Malpighiales; Euphorbiaceae. The record is from RNAcentral.
GGUGACCCACAGCCUCCCCAGCCACCACCCUCCUCCCUCUCUUCUCUUUUCUUUUUCUUCUUCUUCUUCUUUCUUUUCUUUCUUUCUUUCCUUUUCCUUCCUUCUUCCCUGCGUCUGUCUUCGUGUGACUAGCGAGAGACAGCAGGUUCGCUGCGCGCCACCCAGCCUCGCCGCCACUCCACGCCGGCAGUCGCAUCACCUCCGUCGCCUCGCUGCUCCUCCGCGCGCCACUGCCAGCAGCUCCACUCGCUGCCAGAUUGUGCAGCGCCAGCUCCUUCUGCCCUCGAUCGUGCAGCGCCUCACCCAGCUCCUCACGCCAUUGCCACUGCCACUACUGCCGCUGCUCCCGGGCACCUCCGGCCAUC